CAGCAGCCGCGGUAACACCGGCGGCUCGAGUGGUGGCCACUUUUAUUGGGUCUAAAGCGUCCGUAGCCGGCUUGGCAAGUCCCCUGGGAAAUCUGGCGGCUUAACCGUCAGGCGUCCAGAGGAUACUGCCAGGCUUGGGACCGGGAGAGGUGCGAGGUACCUCAGGGGUAGGGGUGAAAUCUUGUGAUCCCUGAGGGACCACCAGUGGCGAAGGCGUCUCACUAGAACGGGUCCGACGGUCAGGGACGAAAGCUGGGGGCACGAACCGGAUUAGAUACCCGGGUAGUCCCAGCCGUAAACGAUGCUCGCUAGGUGUCAGGCAUGGCAUGACUGUGCCUGGUGCCGAAGGGAAGCCGUGAAGCGAGCCACCUGGGAAGUACGGCCGCAAGGCUGAAACUUAAAGGAAUUGGCGGG
RNAcentral lists this ribosomal RNA (414 nucleotides) under uncultured microorganism. RNAcentral describes it as "bacterial SSU rRNA". It matches the Rfam family "Archaeal small subunit ribosomal RNA", at positions 459 to 872 of the family's 1478-position model. The record is from RNAcentral.